UACGUAGGUGGCAAGCGUUACUCGGAAUUACUAGGCGUAAAGCGCAGGUAGGUGGUUGGGUAAGUCCGCAAUGAAAGCUCCCGGCUUAACUGGGAGAGGUUUGUGGAUACUGCUUGACUCGAGUGUGGGAGAGGUAACUGGAAUUCCCGGUGUAGCGGUGAAAUGCGUAGAGAUCGGGAGGAACACCAACGGCGAAAGCAGGUUACUGGCCCAAUACUGACACUGAGCUGCGAAAGCUAGGGGAGCAAACAGG
Molecule: ribosomal RNA, 253 nt
Filed under: uncultured bacterium
Lineage: Bacteria
Description: partial 16S ribosomal RNA
Rfam family: Bacterial small subunit ribosomal RNA
Source: RNAcentral